RNAcentral lists this ribosomal RNA (1000 nucleotides) under Monochaetia kansensis. Its description in RNAcentral is "eukaryotic LSU rRNA". The stretch from base 148 to 301 matches the Rfam family "5.8S ribosomal RNA". The record is from RNAcentral. Lineage: Eukaryota; Fungi; Ascomycota; Sordariomycetes; Amphisphaeriales; Sporocadaceae.
GGGAAAUUAGAGUUUCUAACUCCAACCCAUGUGAACUUACCUUUUGUUGCCUCGGCAGAAGUUAUAGGUCUUCUUAUAGCUGCUGCCGGUGGACCAUUAAACUCUUGUUAUUUUAUGUAAUCUGAGCGUCUUAUUUUAAUAAGUCAAAACUUUCAACAACGGAUCUCUUGGUUCUGGCAUCGAUGAAGAACGCAGCGAAAUGCGAUAAGUAAUGUGAAUUGCAGAAUUCAGUGAAUCAUCGAAUCUUUGAACGCACAUUGCGCCCAUUAGUAUUCUAGUGGGCAUGCCUGUUCGAGCGUCAUUUCAACCCUUAAGCCUAGCUUAGUGUUGGGAAUCUACUUCUCUUAGGAGUUGUAGUUCCUGAAAUACAACGGCGGAUUUGUAGUAUCCUCUGAGCGUAGUAAUUUUUUUCUCGCUUUUGUUAGGUGCUAUAACUCCCAGCCGCUAAACCCCCAAUUUUUUGUGGUUGACCUCGGAUCAGGUAGGAAUACCCGCUGAACUUAAGCAUAUCAAAGCCGGAAGAAAAAACACCUUUAUGGAGUUUUCUAAACUCCAAACCAUGUGAACUUACUUUUGUUGCCUCGCAAAAAUUAUAGGUCUUCUUAUAGCUGCUGCCGGUGGAACAUUAAACUCUGGUUUAUUUUUAUGUAAUCUGAGCGUCUUAUUUUUAAUAAGUUCAAAACUUUCACACGGAUCUCUGGGUUCUGGCAUCGAUGAAGAAACGCAGCGAAUGCGAUAAGUAAUGUGAAUUGCAGAAUUCGUGAAAUCAUGAAUCUUUGAACGCAAUUGCGCCAUUAGUAUUCUAGUGGCAUGCUGCUGCAGCGUCAUUUCACCUGAGCUAGCUGAGUGUGGGAUCUACUUCCCUCAGGGAGUGCGUAGCUUCGGAAUCAGCGCGAUUGUAUAUCUGGAGCUAUAUUCUCGGUUGUAGGGGCUAUAAUCGACCACCUUGGCUACCGACCGUGAAAUCCUCAACUACGCCUAGCGGAGAAUCUCCUUCUGC